Pimephales promelas (fathead minnow) is the source of this 1484-nucleotide non-coding RNA. NCBI's taxonomy places the organism in Eukaryota, Metazoa, Chordata, Actinopteri, Cypriniformes, Leuciscidae. The record is from RefSeq and is a predicted model, not a curated record.
AUGGAACUUUACUACGACGUCCUCACAACGUUGCCAUAAAGUAAUGUCACACUGACCAAAUGACGACUUACUGACGACGUCGUCACAACGUACUGUGUUAGCUGGGAGGAUAUUGUUUAAUAUAACUCUAAUUGUUUUCAUCUAAGAGAAGAAUGUCAUAUUGCCCAUUGUAAUAUAUAUCCCAGUAGUAUUUUAAAUGAUAUAGUUGAUUCUAUAAACAACUAUAUAAGAGAUCAUUUUCGUCUUUCUCCGGCGUGGUGAAGAGAUGAGUCCUGUGGUAAGCGAAACCGGAAGUGUCCGACCGCACACACUCACGGAUCAGAAAUCCAAAAUGGCGGCCGCACGUGCAACUAGCGGAGAUGCUCCACUGAUGAUUGACUGUGUUGCUACUGUUAUAUCUUUUUUGCAGGUAAGAUUACUUCCCAGAUAGCACUGAACGUCUUGCCGACGUUGGCAAUUGGAGGGCACCAGCGGCAAAGUAUCGGGAGGGGAUUUUCCCCUGCACAACAAAAAACUUUGGUGGGUAAACCAUCGGCGGGCCGCGGGAUGAAUAGCCACUUUCAUGCACAACUCCGGAGAUCGGUGGAGGAACCGUGAUGAACCAUUUUGCCGAUCCCGCUUCUAUUUUUUUAAAUAAAUAAUAUCUGCGCAACCGUUGGUCCACAUCAAGACCUUCACGCGCGUGCACACGUUUUUAUGACGGUGCGCUAUGCGCGUGAGUGAUCUCAGCAUCGUCUACACUACAGCCUACAGCUAAGUCUACAGCAACGGACUCUGAGCUACAUACACCCCAAAGGCUCUUUUCAGAGCCCAGGCCCAUUUUGCACAGCGUCUUUGCCUUUGUACAUGUACUUGCCGCGUCAGCACACACGACGGCUGGAACUACAGUAUGGUCUUCCCAGUGGACCAGCACCACAUCCAUCUGGAUUGAGACGAGUAGGGGACAUCUCUAGGGUCUUCACAUAUUGAUACACACACCAUUGCAACUUGGAUCGCCAUCACCACCACCAUCCCCUGCAUCAGACACCCUAAAUCGUGCCCUUCAUCAGACACCCUACAGUAAAUGCACCACAAACAACACAGGCAAAGAAGAAGAAAACGCACGACAAAUCUCCUCCAGCCCAUCCCACAUCAUCGUAUAGUAAAGUGACGCCGCCGGAUAAUAAUGACGGCCUGUGUGCUUUGCAGCCUUUUCCAGGGAUCCUUCAGAGGACUAACAAUGGUGCUGUGUUAAGAAAUCCUACCCAACAAAAUUCCACUGAGGCAGAUGUAGAGAUGACUGCGAGAAACUGGCUGCGGCUGAGGAGGGACAGGAAGCAAGAGGGCGAGCAUCUUAAAGUGAAAUAAUUGAUUGGACUGAUUUUUCCUGUUUACCUAUUUUGGAGGGAAUUUCUUUUUGUUGUUGUUGUACUUUUCUAUGUGUGAUUUGAUGAGUGUUAAAAUAAAUGAUACUGCUUUUGCAAAAACAAAAGUAAAAAAAUAAA